UCAGACCUGAAACUUCAGAGCCACAUAAAGACAGUUACAAAGUCGCCUUCUAUCACCUGAAGAACAUUUUCAGGGUUAAAGGACUAAUGUUUCAGCAAGAUCUAGAGAAACUCAUCCAUGCUUUUAGCUUUAGU
Xiphophorus hellerii (green swordtail) is the source of this 134-nucleotide long non-coding RNA. RefSeq lists it as uncharacterized. The record is from RefSeq and is a predicted model, not a curated record. Lineage: Eukaryota; Metazoa; Chordata; Actinopteri; Cyprinodontiformes; Poeciliidae. The transcript is spliced from 3 exons.